Molecule: ribosomal RNA, 109 nt
Filed under: Astragalus mongholicus var. dahuricus
Lineage: Eukaryota; Viridiplantae; Streptophyta; Magnoliopsida; Fabales; Fabaceae
Description: partial 18S ribosomal RNA
Rfam family: Eukaryotic small subunit ribosomal RNA
Source: RNAcentral
GGCGGUUCGCUGCCCGCGACGUUGUGAGAAGUCCACUGAACCUUAUCAUUUAGAGGAAGGAGAAGUCGUAACAAGGUUUUCCGUAGGUGAACCUGCGGAAGGAUCAUUG